UGGGUCUAAGUCCUGUUUCUAGUCUAGCUGCCCAUUUCUUGGCUCCCAGACUGCAAGCUACCCAAAGGGCAAGUUCUACUUUACCUUUGACAUGGUAUUCGUGAUGCUUCCCACAUUGUCAGAUCAUGAGCCCCAGUGGUACUUUCCGAGUUAAGGACUGGCGCUACCCCUCCAUUUAUCCACCCGCUGCCCUUCACUGUCAUUCACCCAGCCAUCAGCUAGUCACUGCCCACCUUCCACCUGCUGCAGUCUGCCUGGUGCUACCAGGUGUGACCAAAGAAGCAUCUCCAAGCAUCUCUAAGAAGGAAUAAAUUUCUUUCAUCCUUGGACUUCUUACUGGACCAAAUUCUUAAGAGCCCCCAAGGAACCAUGAGAAGCUCCACCCUCUGACUCCAGGGCGGAGCGGCCAAGGACAGCUGAGCAUGGCUGGUAUUUCUCAAAGGCUGACAAGGGCAACAUGAGCACAUAAAGACACACAGUGGCAUAAAGAUGCCACUAAAGAUGCACAAAGACCCCCAAAUAGUGUUCUGGGUAUAGGCUGCAAUUG
Molecule: long non-coding RNA, 547 nt
Filed under: Bos taurus (domestic cattle)
Lineage: Eukaryota; Metazoa; Chordata; Mammalia; Artiodactyla; Bovidae
Description: long non-coding RNA NONBTAT017713
Source: RNAcentral